UUUACAUAUAAAAAAAAACUACGAAAAAUCUGACUCAAAAUAAAAAGUUGUAUCUAGCCUAAAAACAUAUUAUAUAUGUUAAAAAAAUACCUCAAUCGUCAAUUUUGAAGGAGCUAUCUGGGUUGAAAAUUGGAUCUAAUUUCUAUUCACUAAAACCUUAAUAUUGUUAUUGUCUUAGAAAUUAGAAUAGUAUUCUAUAUUAAUAUUUAUUUUACUAAAAUUCUUAUUUAAAAAGUUAUUUUAGUUAUUAUUUUGUUUAAUCGAAAUCCUACUUAUUAUAGCUGAGAGAUCCUACUAACUUGAAGCAGAAGUAUGAAAGUAUUUAAAAAAUGCUUAGGGGUCAAAAAAAACUUUAUUUGAAACUGGCGGUGGACCACGUGUGAAACCUUAUGAAGCACUGAGUGAUUUAGAAAAUGAUUAUAUUCUAUAAUCAGAAUCUCAGCUGAAGGUUUACCUUGUAAUUUUGAUAAUGAUGUUCCAAUUCGUGAGUUCCUACUCUUUUCUACUCCUAUUAAUAAAAACAAUUUAUCAUUAAAAAAAUAAUAAACACCAUUGUAAAACCACAAAACUAUUAGAAUGAGUUAAGCCUGAACAAUUUUUUUUGAUAAUAAAUGUAUAAUUUAUUAAAAUUUAUUGACAAUAUGAUGAAAACAUUUUUUUAAUGCAUUAUUUUCCAAUUUAUUUCUAUGAACAAAUAUCCAUCACAACACAAGAAACAAGUACGGACGAUUGUGUUGAAGAAUAUGUUGUAAAUGAAGAGGAGCUUGAUGAUAAUGCGCCAUCAACGCAUGAACAUUUGUCGUAAACUAAUAUAAUUAAAGAAUUUCCACCAACUACAUCCUCUUCACUAGAAGAUAUAGUUAUAGUCGAUACACAUUUAAAUAAAGAAUCAUAUAUUUUUACAGAUGAAAAUCAAGAGCAACGUAGUUCUAGAUUAAAAUAUUAAACGAAAAUAAAAUGUGUAGAACUUUAAUGGCAAAAUACCUGAAAUUAUAAAAAAUUGAAUUACUGUUCAUCAGAUAAUAAUAAAAACAAUUCAACCCGAUCUCCUUUAAACUCAACAAAAAUGCUAAGAACAACAUCUAAAAAUCCAAAAUUAAUAUUUUAUAACAGUCAUCAAAAACAAUCUAACAAGAAGAAACAUUGCAUGACCUGACCUCAGCUGGUGAAAAGUUUGAAGACCUUGCAGAGAUCAAAAUGGAGCUAUAAGUAUCUCUGCAAUGACAACUUGUUAAACAAGAACUUUUACACUCAUCUAUUGAACACGAAACAAAAUUAAAAUAUAUGGCAGAAGAACAUACAUUAAAACUUGAGAUAGUUUAAUAGUUUAUUGAUUAAUAGAUGAGUUAUAAAUUUAAAAAAAAAAAAUUAAUUUAAUUUAGUAAAAAGCUUAAUAUAAAGAUA
Long non-coding RNA from Acyrthosiphon pisum (pea aphid), 1404 nucleotides. RefSeq lists it as uncharacterized. The transcript is spliced from 3 exons. The record is from RefSeq and is a predicted model, not a curated record. Lineage: Eukaryota; Metazoa; Arthropoda; Insecta; Hemiptera; Aphididae.